Camelina sativa (false flax) is the source of this 873-nucleotide non-coding RNA. NCBI's taxonomy places the organism in Eukaryota, Viridiplantae, Streptophyta, Magnoliopsida, Brassicales, Brassicaceae. The record is from RefSeq and is a predicted model, not a curated record.
UCAUUACCCAUGCUCUGAGAUUUUUUUUUGGGAAAUCUGAAAUUGUUGUUCGAGUGAAUUUGAAGAAGAGGAGAUGGACGCUAGCUCAUCAGCGAAUUCAACAAGCCUUACGUUAUUGUAAUGAAAAGGUCUGGAUUUCCAUACCAUCUGCAUAGUGCCAUUGCAUCUUGAUAAUUUUCUACCAUGUAUCUCGGGCCGGCUGUGAAGGAAGAUGCAGUAUAUGCAUCAACCACAUAUUGGUGGAAAAGACGGCCUGAACGGACUAUUGUUCCUGGAGAUGUUAACCUGUGCAUUGAGACGGUUUUGAACUUCAUGAGCAGUAUCAUAUACAUAUAGCUGUGCAAAACGUGGAAGAUCUCCUUCAACUGGUAGCAGUGAUCCAAAUUUGUGGUAAUUUUGACCAUGCAUACGAAAAGUAAAAGGAUCGUUUCCUGAAUUGAUAUCGUUAUCUAUUUUUCCACCCAUUGAUGUAAAAGCAAGCAUUGAAUUAUAUGCUCAUAUAUUGUUCCGAAACGAUGCCGACCGUGACAGUAAUUCAUCUAAGUAAGUUGGAGGUGGUCGCAAUUGUUGCAAGAUAACUCGUCCUUGUUGACAACAAAUCGAGAAUUUCAGCACUUUUCCACUAUGUUUUAGACUUUCAGAUUUCCAUACCAAAGCUUCGCAAUAAUUACAUGUGACCAAAUCAUUGUCUUUUUCUUUAUUCUUUCCAGGAAAAAAAAUAAUACAAUGUUUAGCUUAGUUUCAAUUUUUUUAAAUCCAUAGAAAGAAAAAUAUCUAGGAACAAUACGUUAUGCAUAUUGUUUUCGUUAUUCAUCAUCUAUACCUUAUUAAUUACGUGUAAGGUUAAAUAAUUUGAAUUCUUACCAUGUUUUU